Molecule: ribosomal RNA, 433 nt
Filed under: uncultured bacterium
Lineage: Bacteria
Description: partial 16S ribosomal RNA
Rfam family: Bacterial small subunit ribosomal RNA
Source: RNAcentral
AACGAACGCUGGCGGCAUGCCUAACACAUGCAAGUCGAACGAGACCUUCGGGUCUAGUGGCGCACGGGUGCGUAACGCGUGGUAACCUGCCCUUAGGUUCCGAAUAACUCCCCGAAAGGGGUGCUAAUACCGGAUAAUGUCUUCGGACCAAAGAUUUAUCGCGUUUGGAUGGGCGCGCGUUGGAUUAGCUAGUUGGUAGGGUAAAAGCAUACCAUGGCGAGGUUCCAUAGCUGGUCUGUGAGGAUGAUCAGCCACACUGGGACUGAGACACGGCCCAGACUCCGACGGGAGGGAGCAGAGGGGAAUACUGGACAAGGGGCGAAAGCCUGAUACAGCAAUGUCGCGUGAGUGAGGAAGGGCUUAGUGUAGUAAAGCUCUUUUACCCGGGAUGAUAAUGACAGUACCGGGAGAAUAAGCUCCGGCUAACUACGUG